AUUGAACGCUGGCGGCAUGCCUUACACAUGCAAGUCGAACGGCAGCGGACCUUCGGGUGCCGGCGAGUGGCGAACGGGUGAGUAAUAUAUCGGAACGUACCUUUCAGUGGGGGAUAACGUAGCGAAAGUUACGCUAAUACCGCAUAUUCUGUGAGCAGGAAAGCAGGGGAUCGCAAGACCUUGCGCUGAUUGAGCGGCCGAUAUCAGAUUAGCUAGUUGGUGAGGUAAAGGCUCACCAAGGCGACGAUCUGUAGCGGGUCUGAGAGGAUGAUCCGCCACACUGGAACUGAGACACGGUCCAGACUCCUACGGGAGGCAGCAGUGGGGAAUUUUGGACAAUGGGCGCAAGCCUGAUCCAGCCAUGCCGCGUGAGCGAAGAAGGCC
RNAcentral lists this ribosomal RNA (384 nucleotides) under uncultured bacterium. Its description in RNAcentral is "bacterial SSU rRNA". It matches the Rfam family "Bacterial small subunit ribosomal RNA", at positions 30 to 416 of the family's 1533-position model. The record is from RNAcentral.